This 468-nucleotide ribosomal RNA is filed under the name uncultured bacterium. RNAcentral describes it as "partial 16S ribosomal RNA". It matches the Rfam family "Bacterial small subunit ribosomal RNA", at positions 28 to 507 of the family's 1533-position model. The record is from RNAcentral.
GACGAACGCUGGCGGCGUGCUUAACACAUGCAAGUCGAACGGAAAGGCCCUGCUUUUGUGGGGUGCUCGAGUGGCGAACGGGUGAGUAACACGUGAGUAACCUGCCCUUGACUUUGGGAUAACUUCAGGAAACUGGGGCUAAUACCGGAUAGGAGCUCCUGCUGCAUGGUGGGGGAUGGAAAGUUUCGGCGGUUGGGGAUGGACUCGCGGCUUAUCAGCUUGUUGGUGGGGUAGUGGCUGACCAAGGCUUUGACGGGUAGCCGGCCUGAGAGGGUGACCGGCCACAUUGGGACUGAGAUACGGACCAGACGCGUACGGGAGGCAGCAGUGGGGAAUAUUGCACAAUGACCGGAAGCCUGAUGCAGCGACGCCGCGUGCGGAAUGACGGCCUUCGGGUUGUAAACCGCUUUCGAAUGUGCCGAAGCGUGAGUGACGGUAAUGGGUCAGGAAGCACCGGCUAACUACGUG